AAUGCCAACAUUUUCCAUAAUAUAUUUUUCGAUUAUUGUGUUUUGAAUUUUUUAGUCCUUUAAAAUAAUAGUUAAUAAUUGAUAUAAUUCUCAAUUUAAAUAAAAUUAUUAAAAACCUUUAGUCAAACUAUUCCUUCUAUAAACUUGCACUCCAAGUACAAGUUCUACUUUUUGGGAAUGCUGUAAUAUUAAUUUAGUUAUAAUAAUUGUAAAUUUAUA
Molecule: non-coding RNA, 219 nt
Organism: Cinara cedri
Lineage: Eukaryota; Metazoa; Arthropoda; Insecta; Hemiptera; Aphididae
Source: the annotation of a GenBank genome assembly